GACGAACGCUGGCGGCGUGCUUAACACAUGCAAGUCGAACGAGACGAUUGAAAGCUUGCUUUCGAAAGUCGAGUGGCAAACGGGUGAGUAACGCGUAGACAACCUGCCUUUGAGAUGGGGACAACAGUUCGAAAGGACUGCUAAUACCGAAUGUUGUAUAUUUUCCACAUGGAAGGUAUAUUAAAGAUGGCCUCUAUUUAUAAGCCAUCGCUCGAAGAUGGGUCUGCGUCUGAUUAGCUGGUUGGUGGGGUAACGGCCUACCAAGGCGAUGAUCAGUAGCCGGUCUGGGAGGAUGAACGGCCACAUUGGGACUGAGACACGGCCCAGACUCCUACGGGAGACAGCAGUGGGGAAUCUUCCACAAUGGACGAAAGUCUGAUGGAGCAACGCCGCGUGAGUGAAGAAGGGUUUCGGCUCGUAAAGCUCUGUUGUCGGGGACGAAUGUGCAGUAUUUGAAUAAAGUACUGUAAUGACGGUACCUGACGAGGAAGCCACGGCUAACUACGUGCCAGCAGCCGCAGUAA
Molecule: ribosomal RNA, 524 nt
Filed under: uncultured bacterium
Lineage: Bacteria
Description: partial 16S ribosomal RNA
Rfam family: Bacterial small subunit ribosomal RNA
Source: RNAcentral